RNAcentral lists this ribosomal RNA (652 nucleotides) under Bacillus sp. (in: firmicutes). RNAcentral describes it as "bacterial SSU rRNA". It matches the Rfam family "Bacterial small subunit ribosomal RNA", at positions 193 to 830 of the family's 1533-position model. The record is from RNAcentral. Lineage: Bacteria; Bacillati; Bacillota; Bacilli; Caryophanales; Bacillaceae.
UUCAAUCAUAAAAGGUGGCUUUCAGCUACCACUUACAGAUGGACCCGCGGCGCAUUAGCUAGUUGGUGAGGUAACGGCUCACCAAGGCGACGAUGCGUAGCCGACCUGAGAGGGUGAUCGGCCACACUGGGACUGAGACACGGCCCAGACUCCUACGGGAGGCAGCAGUAGGGAAUCUUCCGCAAUGGACGAAAGUCUGACGGAGCAACGCCGCGUGAGUGAUGAAGGUUUUCGGAUCGUAAAACUCUGUUGUUAGGGAAGAACAAGUACCGUUCGAAUAGGGCGGCACCUUGACGGUACCUAACCAGAAAGCCACGGCUAACUACGUGCCAGCAGCCGCGGUAAUACGUAGGUGGCAAGCGUUGUCCGGAAUUAUUGGGCGUAAAGCGCGCGCAGGCGGUUUCUUAAGUCUGAUGUGAAAGCCCCCGGCUCAACCGGGGAGGGUCAUUGGAAACUGGGGAACUUGAGUGCAGAAGAGGAGAGUGGAAUUCCACGUGUAGCGGUGAAAUGCGUAGAGAUGUGGAGGAACACCAGUGGCGAAGGCGACUCUCUGGUCUGUAACUGACGCUGAGGCGCGAAAGCGUGGGGAGCGAACAGGAUUAGAUACCCUGGUAGUCCACGCCGUAAACGAUGAGUGCUAAGUGUUAGAGGG